This is a long non-coding RNA of Cuculus canorus (common cuckoo), 974 nucleotides long. RefSeq lists it as uncharacterized. The record is from RefSeq and is a predicted model, not a curated record. The transcript is spliced from 5 exons. NCBI's taxonomy places the organism in Eukaryota, Metazoa, Chordata, Aves, Cuculiformes, Cuculidae.
UGAACACGCCAGCCUGAAGCCAGUGCCUCGGAGUCCCUUCGCUGAAAGACUUCUCUGACGUAUCCAAAAAAGGUUGACUGGGGAGCCCGUGGUCUGAACGAUCCCAGUCCGGUGAGGUAGAAGAAAUUGGAAAACUGAUCACGCAUGCUGUAUCUUUGACGGAGCAAGAGGCUUCUGUUCGGCAGACGUUUUCCUAUCUUCUUUGUGGAUGAUGAAUACUUCUGGAACGAAGCUUUCUCCAAGUUUUUCUGCUUCCUCUGAAAUGCAUGAAGUUUCUCCCAAGCAGUGUUCACCCGGGAAACAAAGGCACUGCUUUUCGAUUGGAUUCUGAAAUCUCAGGGUAUUUAAGAUGUCUUUUCUCCUCCAAAGCCACCUAACAAUCAGAAGUUCACAUGAUGCGGUGGUAAGAAUUUCUAUAAAAAGGUGCUCUGACUCUCAGAGGCAGCACAAGUAUCAAGCGAUGUGGAAAUCGCUAUGCCUGACGUUCCCAGCGCUGAACGCUUUGAGCUGCCUGCACAGCGGUGGGGCUGACAGCGCUGAACACCAGGGAAGCUUCGCGCACUCCGCAGGAACUUUACCCUAGCAAACUUGGAUAUGAUAGACUUCAAAACAAAACCCCAAGACAUUCUGGAACUUUCCCAAAAUGCAAAAGUUUCUGCGUUGCACACUUGGUAAUCCCUGGAAAUCCACUGUCUGUGCUGAGCAACAUUGCAGCAGCCACACCCAGACUAUGUACAACCCUCUUCUCUCCGGCUGCUGCGCUUGUUGGAGUCAUCGCUGCUUCAGGGCCCGCAAAGGGUGAGAUUCAGCCAAGCGAAAAGGCUGCAACCAGGAAGAAGCAUUACAAGAAGUCAUCCGCUGUGUGUUGAUUUAUUUGUGUCUGUAUCAGUGUGAUUCGUGCGCUUCCUCUCUGCCGCUUCCUAAACGAGGGAGAUGCAUCUUUUUGUUUUAAAGUUGGAAACUUUUUGUUUUGC